Molecule: long non-coding RNA, 1432 nt
Filed under: Volvox carteri
Lineage: Eukaryota; Viridiplantae; Chlorophyta; Chlorophyceae; Chlamydomonadales; Volvocaceae
Description: long non-coding RNA (VCAR_LNC002819)
Source: RNAcentral
ACGGUAGCAGACAACUGACCAGUCGGCGGGGAGGGGGGAAAGGAGUAGUAUUAGUAGUAGUAGUAGUGGUAAGAGGAGGAGGUGUAGUGGUGAUAGUAGGAGUAGUGUGGAUAAGUCUAGGUGUAAGGUAUUGCCCUUGUUACUGAAAUAAUGCUCACGCCACAAGCCGUACGGCAAGCUUCGGUUACAUCAACGUCCUCCCCUCUUUGAAUGUCGGCAGCUGCUGCUUUUGACUUCACUUUGCAACACACACACACACACAGAUAGGGCCCCCCCGCCCAUUUUACCCCUCUCCCUCUUAUCCCCCCUACCCCACCCCACCUCACCACCCCGCGCCCCCUCACCCAGAUUCGCAACCUCCAGACCCCGGGCGAAUGUCGUACUCAUCCCCGGAUGCUCCAGGGCCAACGCAACGGUGUUCACAAUGAUAACCGCAAUCAUUAAAUUGUUGAACCACGUGCUGUACGACAAGUCCCAGAAUCUGUACGGCAACACCAGGGGCGAAACACCGGGUAGGUGGAGCCUUUCAAACGUCCGGGUGGAGUUGGUUCUUCCGAGUGCUUCGUUCGGGACGGGGGUUGGGUUGGGGGUGGGUUGUUUGGGAGGGGGGUGGGUUGGGGGGUGGGUUUGGCGCCAGAGGGGGACGUAAAGCCCUCCAGGGGGGUCCUUCUGGAGGGGGGGUAGCUGAUGCUGCUCUAGUUAAGGCCGGGGGAUACCCCCUUAUUCGCCCACCACCCACCACCCACCACCCACCCAUACAAGUCUGUGUGUAUAUAUAUACGUAUUUCGGAGUCUGACAUCUGUGCCGGCGAGCUUCCCUCCUUUCCCAGCCGGGCCGUUUUCCUCCCCCCCUUCCCCCCCCAUCACCGCCCGCCUUCAGGGUCCGCAGCGGCCACACGGCCCGCCUUAACUCAGAGACGGUGUUGGACACCAUCACACCGUUUUCCCGGGGCCUUAGGGUUCUAGGGUUCAGAUAUGCUUCUGUUCUAGCCCUCCGCUCCGGCCACUUUCCCACCCCCCACCCUCCCCCCACCCCCAUUUCCUCGGGGCUCUCCACCCACGUACGACACCCACGUGACUCUCCACCGCGGCAAGUCCUUCCGCCGUAACGGCUGCAAGUAACGCUUACGGAACCGGAACCAGAUCCGCCGCAAGCGACGGCGAAUACGAGUCAGCCGCAGCCGCAGUAGCGGCGGCGGAGGAGGAGGCGGCGGUUGCCGCCGCCGCCCCGCUGGCGACGAGGGGUUCAUCGGCUCGCUCUCGCCGUUGUCGUACCCGUACGGCAGCGCGGCAGCGCCGUCAACAAUCCUUCCCUCCCCCAGCUCUGCAUCAUCGCGUUGCCCGUUCCCCUCCACCACCUCGUCGGGUAAAUCCAGGGGGUUACUCACGUGCCGCCCCCGCCUCUGGCGCUUCUCCUUUUUUGGAAUCUGCG